GGACUACCGGGGUAUCUAAUCCUGUUUGAUCCCCACGCUUUCGCGCCUCAGUGUCAGUAUUGGUCCAGGUAGUCGUCUUCACCACUGGCGUUCCUUCCGAUCUCUACGCAUUUCACCGCUACACCGGAAAUUCCACUACCCUCUACCAUACUCUAGUUAAGCAGUUUAAGAUGCACUUCCCAGGUUAAGCCCAGGGCUUUCACAUCUUACUUGCUUUACCACCUACGCGCCCUUUACGCCCAGUAAAUCCGAUUAACGCUCGCACCCUCUGUAUUACCGCGGCUGCUGGCAC
This 292-nucleotide ribosomal RNA is filed under the name uncultured bacterium. RNAcentral describes it as "partial 16S ribosomal RNA". The record is from RNAcentral.